This 453-nucleotide ribosomal RNA is filed under the name uncultured bacterium. RNAcentral's name for it is "bacterial SSU rRNA". It matches the Rfam family "Bacterial small subunit ribosomal RNA", at positions 9 to 507 of the family's 1533-position model. The record is from RNAcentral.
CGAGUUUGAUCCUGGCUCAGAACGAACGCUGGCGGCAGGCCUAACACAUGCAAGUCGAACGCCGUAGCAAUACGGAGUGGCAGACGGGUGAGUAACACGUGGGAACGUACCCUUCGGUUCGGAAUAACUCAGGGAAACUUGAGCUAAUACCGGAUACGUCCGUAAGGAGAAAGAUUUAUCGCCGAAGGAUCGGCCCGCGUCGGAUUAGCUAGUUGGCGGGGUAAUAGCCCACCAAGGCGACGAUCCGUAGCUGGUCUGAGAGGAUGAUCAGCCACACUGGGACUGAGACACGGCCCAGACUCCUACGGGAGGCAGCAGUGGGGAAUAUUGGACAAUGGGCGAAAGCCUGAUCCAGCCAUGCCGCGUGAGUGAUGAAGGCCUUAGGGUUGUAAAGCUCUUUCAGCGGGGAAGAUAAUGACGGUACCCGCAGAAGAAGCCCCGGCUAACUUCGUG